RNAcentral lists this ribosomal RNA (1146 nucleotides) under uncultured fungus. RNAcentral describes it as "eukaryotic LSU rRNA". The stretch from base 513 to 1146 matches the Rfam family "Eukaryotic large subunit ribosomal RNA", at positions 1 to 649 of the family's 3401-position model. The record is from RNAcentral. Lineage: Eukaryota; Fungi.
AAGUCGUAACAAGGUUUCCGUAGGUGAACCUGCGGAAGGAUCAUUAAAGAACGCCCCGUUUUUUGAAAUGGGAAAUUCCCAAACCGUGUAUACAUACCUUUGUUGCUUUGGCAGGCCGCCCCUCGGGGCGUUGGCUUCGGCUGACUGCGCCUGCCAGAGGACCCAAACUCGUUUGUUUAGUGAUGUCUGAGUACUAUAUAAUAGUUAAAACUUUCAACAACGGAUCUCUUGGUUCUGGCAUCGAUGAAGAACGCAGCGAAAUGCGAUAAGUAAUGUGAAUUGCAGAAUUCAGUGAAUCAUCGAAUCUUUGAACGCACAUUGCGCCCCUUGGUAUUCCGAGGGGCAUGCCUGUUCGAGCGUCAUUAUAACCACUCAAGCCUCGGCUUGGUAUUGGGGUACGAGGUUUCUCGGCCCUUAAAAUCAGUGGCGGUGCCAUCUGGCUCUAAGCGUAGUAAUUUUUCUCGCUACAGAGUCCAGGUGGUUACUUGCCAAAACCCCCCCUCUUUUAAGGUUGACCUCGGAUCAGGUAGGGAUACCCGCUGAACUUAAGCAUAUCAAUAAGCGGAGGAAAAGAAACCAACAGGGAUUACCUCAGUAACGGCGAGUGAAGCGGUAACAGCUCAAAUUUGAAAUCUGGCUCUUUCAGGGUCCGAGUUGUAAUUUGUAGAAGAUGCUUUGGGUGAGGCUCCGGUCUAAGUUCCUUGGAACAGGACGUCAUAGAGGGUGAGAAUCCCGUACGUGACUGGGUGCCUUUGCUCGUGUAAAGCUCUUUCGACGAGUCGAGUUGUUUGGGAAUGCAGCUCAAAAUGGGUGGUAAAUUUCAUCUAAAGCUAAAUAUUGGCCAGAGACCGAUAGCGCACAAGUAGAGUGAUCGAAAGAUGAAAAGCACUUUGGAAAGAGAGUUAAACAGUACGUGAAAUUGUUGAAAGGGAAGCGCUUGCAACCAGACUUGCAUGCUGUUGAUCAUCCGAGAUUUUUCCCGGUGCACUCGGCAGUAUUCAGGCCAGCAUCGGUUUCGGUGGGCGGAUAAAGGCCUUGGGAAUGUAGCUUCUUUCGGGGAGUGUUAUAGCCCUCGGUGCAAUGCGCCCUACCGGGACCGAGGACCGCGCUUCGGCUAGGAUGCUGGCGUAAUGGUUGUAAGCGACC